UUAUACUCUUGAUGCCAGAGAUGACAAAGGUGCAGCUAGGACUUUAGCUUUGAUUUCACAGUACGAGUAUGAGGAUGAAAUCUGGGUUUGAGUGUUGCAGAGUCAACGUUAGAGGAAAAUGAAAUAUUUAGUGACAAAAUAAGCUCUAAUUUGGGAAAAUCUUCAGGGACUGGAACUGAAAGCUCUGUUCAAACUGCUUCUAAUACAAAGUGGGGAUC
Molecule: unclassified non-coding RNA, 218 nt
Filed under: Hevea brasiliensis (rubber tree)
Lineage: Eukaryota; Viridiplantae; Streptophyta; Magnoliopsida; Malpighiales; Euphorbiaceae
Source: RNAcentral